This 264-nucleotide ribosomal RNA is filed under the name uncultured bacterium. RNAcentral's name for it is "partial 16S ribosomal RNA". It matches the Rfam family "Bacterial small subunit ribosomal RNA", at positions 793 to 1055 of the family's 1533-position model. The record is from RNAcentral.
GUCCACGCCGUAAACGAUGAGUGCUAGACGUUGGGGGGCCUAGCUUCCCAGUGUCGCAGCUAACGCAUUAAGCACUCCGCCUGGGGAGUACGGCCGCAAGGUUGAAACUCAAAGGAAUUGACGGGGGCCCGCACAAGCGGUGGAGCAUGUGGUUCAAUUCGACGCAACGCGAAGAACCUUACCAACUUUUGACAUGUUCUUGACGAGAGGCAGAGAUGUCUCUCUCCCGCAAGGGCAGGAACACAGGUGCUGCAUGGCUGUCGU